UUUAAUUCGAAGCAACGCGAAGAACCUUACCAGGUCUUGACAUCCCGACGACCGCUCUAGAGAUAGAGUUUUUCUUCGGAACGUCGGUGACAGGUGGUGCAUGGUUGUCGUCAGCUCGUGUCGUGAGAUGUUGGGUUAAGUCCCGCAACGAGCGCAACCCCUAUAACUAGUUGCCAGCAUUAAGAUGGGGACUCUAGUUAGACUGCCGGUGACAAACCGGAGGAAGGUGGGGAUGACGUCAAAUCAUCAUGCCCCUUAUGACCUGGGCUACACACGUGCUACAAUGGAUGGUACAACGAGCAGCGAACUCGCGAGGGUAAGCGAAUCUCUAAAAGCCAUUCCCAGUUCGGAUUGUAGGCUGCAACUCGCCUACAUGAAGUCGGAAUCGCUAGUAAUCGCGGAUCAGCACGCCG
RNAcentral lists this ribosomal RNA (413 nucleotides) under uncultured bacterium. RNAcentral's name for it is "bacterial SSU rRNA". It matches the Rfam family "Bacterial small subunit ribosomal RNA", at positions 945 to 1359 of the family's 1533-position model. The record is from RNAcentral.